Molecule: ribosomal RNA, 500 nt
Filed under: uncultured bacterium
Lineage: Bacteria
Description: bacterial SSU rRNA
Rfam family: Bacterial small subunit ribosomal RNA
Source: RNAcentral
UGGACGUCAGGAUGAACGACUGGCGGCGUGCCUAACACAUGCAAGUCGAACGGAGUCAUAAAGCGGAAGUUUCGGAUGGAAGAAUAUGACUUAGUGGCGGACGGGUGAGUAACGCGUGGGUAACCUGCCUUGUACCGGGGGAUAACACUUAGAAAUAGGUGCUAAUACCGCAUAAGCGCACAGCUUCGCAUGGAGCAGUGUGAAAAACUCCGGUGGUACAAGAUGGACCCGCGUCUGAUUAGCUAGUUGGUGGGGUAGUGGCCCACCCAAGGCGACGAUCAGUAGCCGGCCUGAGAGGGUGAUCGGCCACAUUGGGACUGAGACACGACCCAAACUCCUACGGGAGGCAGCAGUGGGGAAUAUUGCACAAUGGGGGAAACCCUGAAUGCAGCGACGCCGCGUGAGUGAAGACGUAUUUCGGUAUGUAAAGCUCUAUCAGCAGGGAAGAAAAUGACGGUACCUGACUAAGAAGCCCCGGCUAACUACGUGCCAGCCGCGGC